Molecule: non-coding RNA, 31 nt
Filed under: Homo sapiens (human)
Lineage: Eukaryota; Metazoa; Chordata; Mammalia; Primates; Hominidae
Source: RNAcentral
UGCCUGAGGAGAGUGGUCAACGUUUAAUAGA